GACGAACGCUGGCGGCGUGCUUAACACAUGCAAGUCGAACGGAGAUUAGCGAGAAGUUUACUUUUUACUAAUCUUAGUGGCGGACGGGUGAGUAACGCGUGGAUAACCUGCCUAAUAGCCUGGGAUAACGCCGGGAAACCGGUGCUAAUACCAGAUACGCUCCUUAGAUUGCAUAAUUUGGGGAGGAAAGGGGAAACCCGCUAUAAGAUGGGUCCGCGUCCCAUUAGCUAGUUGGAGGGGUAACGGCCCACCAAGGCGACGAUGGGUAGCCGGCCUGAGAGGGCGACCGGCCACACUGGAACUGAGACACGGUCCAGACUCCUACGGGAGGCAGCAGUGGGGAAUCUUCCGCAAUGGGCGCAAGCCUGACGGAGCAACGCCGCGUGAGUGAAGAAAGUUUUCGGAUUGUAAAGCUCUGUCCGGGGGGAAGAAGAAAAUGACGGUACCCCUGGAGGAAGCCCCGGCUAACUACGUGCCAGCAGCCGCGGUAAAACGUAGGGGCGAGCGUUGUCCGGAAUUACUGGGCGUAAAGGGCGUGUAGGCGGUAAAGUAAGUCCGUAGUGAAACCCGGCAGCUCAACUGCCGGCUUGCUAUAGAAACUGCAUUACUUGAGUGCAGGAGAGGGGAGUGGAAUUCCCAGUGUAGCGGUGAAAUGCGUAGAUAUUGGGAGGAACACCAGUGGCGAAAGCGGCUCCCUGGCCUGUAACUGACGCUGAGGCGCGAAAGCGUGGGUAGCAAACGAGGAUUAGAUACCCUGGUAGUCCACGCCGUAAACGAUGGGUGCUAGGUGUUGUGGGUAUCGACCCCCUCGAGUGCCGGAGUUAACGCGAAUAAGCUACCCCGCCUGGGGAGUACGGCCGCAAAGGCUGA
Molecule: ribosomal RNA, 870 nt
Filed under: uncultured bacterium
Lineage: Bacteria
Description: bacterial SSU rRNA
Rfam family: Bacterial small subunit ribosomal RNA
Source: RNAcentral